GGGGCGGUGAGGGGAGCAGAGGACAGCGGCUGACCCAGGGUGGGGACAGCACAGCCCGGGGGGGCCUGGCAGCCACCUGCCUGCCGUGGUGCCCCCGGCUGGAGCAGCAUCCCCACGGGACGCUGAUGAACGGAGCUCCGGGCUCCGUUAUCCCUCGGUGGGACGGCCCGGGGGGCGGCGCAGGAAAGGAGGCCCCUGGGGAAGCAGCUUUGUUGCUUCCUCACGCUGGGUUGUGAUCCAGGCCAGCGUUCCCAGCUCCCGGCGUCACACCCUCUCCCAGCUGUUGCCUCGCCGAGCAUCGCGGGCGCUGCCAAGAAAACCUUUGGUGAUGGAUGCAGCUCCCGCCCCGCUGCCUUAAAAGCGGCGGGGAGCGGCACCGGGCCUGUGUCUGUCCCGGCACGCCGGGAUCCGCCUGGGAAUGGGAUCCGCUGGCACCCAGGGCACCCCCAGCUCGUCCUGCCCAGCCUGGAGCAGUGGGACAGCGUUGGCACCGCACGAGCUCAUGCCCUAGGCCGGUGUGGAGGGAGCUGCCGCUGUGCCCUGGGGCGCUGAAUUGUCACCUGUCCCCAUCCCGACAGAGAGGAGAGAGGGGCAGAUCCCUGGCUGCAGAUCCCAGCUCCCCAGGAUCACACGGAUC
Molecule: long non-coding RNA, 637 nt
Filed under: Junco hyemalis (dark-eyed junco)
Lineage: Eukaryota; Metazoa; Chordata; Aves; Passeriformes; Passerellidae
Description: lncRNA (ENSJHYG00000008153.1)
Source: RNAcentral